GAUCAUGGCUCAGGAUGAACGCUGGCGGCGCGCCUAACACAUGCAAGUCGAACGGCACCUGCCCUCGGGCAGAAGCGAGUGGCGAACGGCUGAGUAACACGUGGAGAACCUGCCCCCUCCCCCGGGAUAGCCGCCCGAAAGGACGGGUAAUACCGGAUACCCCGGGGUGCCGCAUGGCACCCCGGCUAAAGCCCCGACGGGAGGGGGAUGGCCUCCGGCCGGCCCAUCGAGGUAGACGGGCGGGGUGACCGGCCCACCGUGCCGACGAACGGGUACGG
RNAcentral lists this ribosomal RNA (278 nucleotides) under uncultured bacterium. RNAcentral describes it as "partial 16S ribosomal RNA". It matches the Rfam family "Bacterial small subunit ribosomal RNA", at positions 15 to 288 of the family's 1533-position model. The record is from RNAcentral.